This 339-nucleotide small RNA is filed under the name Pongo abelii (Sumatran orangutan). RNAcentral describes it as "processed transcript". The record is from RNAcentral. Lineage: Eukaryota; Metazoa; Chordata; Mammalia; Primates; Hominidae.
CAAGCUGCGGAAGGGCUGGGAGCUCUUCGAGUGCUGGAAACCUAUGCGGCCCGGAGGUCUCCCAGUGGGUGUCUCGGAGAACCGUGAACAACUUCCUGAGCAUGGGCCUGGAUCAUCCCAGCCAGCUGGUGAGGGUCAGGAGCCUGAGGGACCUCAGCAGUGCCUUAAUGCACCCCAAGAAGGUCCAGCUGAUGGGGCUGCUGGACAGUUUCCUGAAGACUGACCCGAGGACCUCACAGGCCUGAUGGAGAUCCUGAGUGACAUUCUGCACCGCCUGGGCACCCAGGGCCUCGGUCCACCAGCGUCAUGAGGGCCCAGCACCUGCUGCCCUUGGUCGAG